UACGAAGGGGGCUAGCGUUGCUCGGAAUUACUGGGCGUAAAGGGCGCGUAGGCGGCUCUGUUAGUCAGGCGUGAAAGCCCUGGGCUCAACCUGGGGACUGCGCUUGAUACGGCGGGGCUUGAGUGCAGGAGAGGCUCGCGGAAUUCCCAGUGUAGAGGUGAAAUUCGUAGAUAUUCGCAAGAACACCAGUGGCGAAGGCGGCUCACUGGCCCGGUACUGACGCUGAGGUGCGAAAGCGUGGGGAGCAAACAGG
This 253-nucleotide ribosomal RNA is filed under the name uncultured bacterium. RNAcentral's name for it is "partial 16S ribosomal RNA". It matches the Rfam family "Bacterial small subunit ribosomal RNA", at positions 524 to 776 of the family's 1533-position model. The record is from RNAcentral.